UACACGCUGUGACUAGCAUAUCAAUAAGCGGAGGAAAAGAAACUAACAAGGAUUCCCCUAGUAACGGCGAGUGAAGCGGGAAGAGCUCAAAUUUGAAAUCUUAAAGGGUUUCCCUUUACGAAUUGUAGUUUAAAGAAGUGUUUUCUGUUGAGGUUUUGGUAAAAGUUCUUUGGAAUAGGACAUCAUAGAGGGUGAGAAUCCCGUAUUUGACCUCUACUUUCAACUUUGUGAUACACUUUCAAAGAGUCGGAUUGUUUGGGAAUGCAGUCCAAAAUGGGUGGUAAAUUUCAUCUAAAGCUAAAUAUUGGCGAGAGACCGAUAGCGAACAAGUACCGCUGAGGGAAAGAUGAAAAGAACUUUGAAAAGAGAGUUAAACAGUACGUGAAAUUGUCAAAAGGGAAGCGUUUGACACCAGUGUUGUUUUUCUGAAAAUCAAUUAAAGAACUGUUUAUGCUAAGUUGUUUAGACUUUAUCAGCUACUGUUUAGUUUUGAGCUUUUCUUUAAUGCACUUUUCAGUUAACAAGUCAACAUCAAUUUCUUUUGCUGUAAAAAAGCUUGAGGAAGGUGGCUUGAGAUUCGUCUUAAGUGUUUAUAGCCUCUUGCCUAUGCAGUCGGAGAGAUUGAGGUCUGCAGCGUAGAUCCUUCGGGGCUAAAUGCAUUUGUGCUAAGUUAUAGCAUUUUAUAGACAACUUGUUGACUAUGAUUUGUCUUGUAGCUUACUCGCUUAUGUUAUUUUACCUACGCUUAGGAUGUUGAGUCGUAGAGCACGCAG
RNAcentral lists this ribosomal RNA (773 nucleotides) under uncultured Neocallimastigales. RNAcentral describes it as "partial large subunit ribosomal RNA". It matches the Rfam family "Eukaryotic large subunit ribosomal RNA", at positions 22 to 628 of the family's 3401-position model. The record is from RNAcentral. Lineage: Eukaryota; Fungi; Neocallimastigomycota; Neocallimastigomycetes; Neocallimastigales.